RNAcentral lists this long non-coding RNA (3199 nucleotides) under Sus scrofa (pig). RNAcentral's name for it is "lncRNA (ENSSSCG00055024557.1)". The stretch from base 1417 to 1549 matches the Rfam family "Small nucleolar RNA SNORA71". The record is from RNAcentral. Lineage: Eukaryota; Metazoa; Chordata; Mammalia; Artiodactyla; Suidae.
UCUGUGUUUUCCUUUUUGGCCCCAUAAUGCCUGGUCCACAGUAGGUACUCAGCUGGUAUUUGUGGGGUGAGAAGCAAUUGAGGCAUUGUCAUCUGAAGUUGGUCUUCCCCAGCCCUGACUUGAUGAGGGGAGAUGGGCUGUUGCCAUGAAGUGAGGGUGGCCCUUGGGGUCCUGGGUCUGGCUGGGCCUGUUUCCCCAGGCUGGGUGGAGAGCCGGCUGCUGAUGUGGGCUCCUCUGCUUGGCUCUCCUCGUGCCCUUCUUUGCCCCAGCCUUUGAAAGUGGUCAUGGGCUGCCAGUGCCCCAGUCGUUGAAAGCACAGGGAGAGGACCGGCUGAAAGCACUUCCCCGUUUGGAGGUCCUGUUCCGUCCCUUAGAAACUCUGGAGCUUUCCCACACUUUCCCCCUCCCACCGCCUUUUAGAGGCCUCCUGGCACCUGGAGUCUGUUGAAUGACCUCUGCCUGGCUCAGAUCCAUGAGGAUGCGGGUUCAAUCCCUGGCCUUGCUCAGUGGGUUGAGGAUCCGGUGUUUCUGUGAACUGCGGUGUAGUUUGCAGACACAGCUCGGAUCCUGCGUUGCUGUGGCUGUGGUGUAGGCCAGCAGCUAGAGCUCUGAUUCGACCCCUAGCCUGGGAACUUCCACAUGGUGCCAUUGCCGCCCUCCCUAAAAAGCAGGAAAAAAAAAAGAAAAAAGAAAAAAAAAAAGAAGAAAAGGGAGAAAAUCACAGCUGUGGUCUCCUGACUCUAGUCUCCAAUCUCUGCAGCUCCAUGGCCUUUCCUGCCUUUGGGUUUGAAGUGAUUACAGGCUGCCUGUGACCCGGUCAUUGGUCAUACAGGCAGAGGAAAGUUGCAGGUUUUUCCUCAUGUUCAGAGGCUCCAUACUUGUCCUUUUUAAAUGGGACAGGUUUAGUGACUGGCAGGGGCCAAGCAUGAGGCCGUCUGAGGAUGGAGGGAGUUGGGCUGUGGGCUCAUCUCCUGCUGGCUUCUUGUCCUCUGCAGGAGUGUCACGUGACUGCUGUCGUAUGGGAGAUGUGGUCAGGAAGAGCCUGGCUAUGAGCCUCAGGUAAGUGAUGGCCUGUUGGUUCUCUAGAGCUUCAGUUCCUUGCAGGCUGCGAUAGCAGAGGUGUUGGGUAAUGAGAUGGGUGUGUGUGUGUGAGAGAGAGUACAGUGGGGCUGCUUCCCAGUGUCCUCCGCCUGGGCCUGAUUCUGCUCCUGCUCCUGGCAGCCCCUGAUGCUGCUGUGGUGGCAAGAGGUUGGUAUUUGUGCUGUGAGUCUUCCCUGAGGCUUUUGGCAGGGACUGUAAGUUGUCAGCAGUGGCUUUGUCAUCUUGGUUGUAAGUCUGGGCCAUGACUGUCUGCUGGUCUGUCCUGGUCCAGGCCAUUUCCUGGGGUUCUGAUAGUGGCCUCCCUUCCCAGCUCACCCCUGUAUUCGAAAGUGAUGGUGGGCUGCCCGUGCCCUGGUCAUUGAUAGUGCAGGGAGAGGAACUGCCGAAAGCACUUCCCCGUGUUUGGAGGGCCCGUCCUGUCCCUUACAAACUCUGGAGCUUUCGAACACGUCCACUGAGUGCCCCUUUUCCCGAGCAGGGCCCUGUCUCAGAAGUUUGUGUUUCUAGGCUGGUGGUGGAGCUACCUUGGGGCCCAUUAGCUCCUAGGACUUCCUUCCUGGACCCUUGCUCUGCCUUCUCCUCACUCAGUCCUUCCCACAUCCUCAGCCCUGCUUCGGCACUAAUCCCUCCUGGACAGUGUGGACUUGUUGGGUGUACCCCCCCCAUGCUGUAAUCUUGAGGGCAGUGCCUCUGUCGUGUUUUGCGUUGUGUGUGUUGCCUGAUAUAUGGCACCUGGACAAAAAUAACAACUGAAGAGCUGGUGGUGACACGGUUGGUACAGGGUGCUGGGGCCCAGGGCUUCUCCUAUUGCAGGGUCAGGGAGCCAUGCCCUCCAGCAGGCCAGCCUGUGGGGGUUGAGCCUGUCUCUUCUCACUGGAAGUGUUGAGUUUGUAAUGAAAGGUAGACUUGUUAUCAUCUACCUUUGAUCCUGGCCACGAGCAGGGCCUGUGGCCCUUUGGGGGUGGUUUCCUAAUAACUGACCUGCACGAAGCACAGAAUAGUCAAGGCUGUGUAUGUCCAUGGCCCUUAUACUAGAUGGUAGACAGGGGCCCACUGAAAGGAUGAAAAUGCAGCCUAACCCUCCAAGACCCCAAGAAGGUAGUGAAGAGCCCUAACUCCAGCUUCCUAAAAAGCCCUAGUGACCUAUCUCAACUGCAAUCUGUCACUCCGCCCAGGAGCCCGCGCAAAUGCGGACCUCCGGAACUGUAGAAAAAUGAUUGGUCCACGGAGCGUGGGCUCUCGAUGUUUUAAAAUGAUUGGUUUGCGAAGCGCGGGCUUUGUUGUGAACCCCAUAAAAGCUGUCCCGAUUCCGCACUCGGGGCCGCAGUCCUCUACCCCUGCGUGGCGUACGACUGUGGGCCCCAGCGCCCUUGGAAUAAAAAUCCUCUUGCUGUUUGCAUCAAGACCGCUUCUCGUGAGUGAUUUGGGGUGUCGCCUCUUCCGAGUCCAUACGAGGGGGAUUUUCCUUCUACUGGCCUUUUCAUUUGGUGCGUUGGCCGGGAAACCCUGCGACCACCCCUCACACCCGAGAACUGACUUGGAGGUAAAGGGAUCCCCUUUGGAACGUGUGUGCUGGCCGGCGUCUCUGUUCUGAGUGUCUGUUUUCUGUGAUGCGCGCUUUUGGUUUGCAGCUGUCCUCUCAGACCGUAAGGACUGGAGGACUGUGAUCAGCAGACGUGCUAGGAGGAUCACAGGCUGCCGCCCUGGGGACGCCCCGGGAGGUGGGGAGAGCCAGGGACGCCUGGUGGUCUCCUGCUGUCGGUCAGAGGACUGAGUUCUGUUGUUGAAGCGAAAGCUUCCCCCUCCGCGGCCGUCCGACUCUUUUGCCUGCUUGUGGAAGACGCAGACGGGUCGCGUGUGUCUGGAUCUGUUGGUUUCUGUUUCGUGUGUCUUUGUCUUGUGCGUCCUUUUCUACAGUUUUAAUAUGGGACAGACGGUGACGACCCCUCUUAGUUUGACUCUCGACCAUUGGACUGAAGUUAAAUCCAGGGCUCAUAAUUUGUCAGUUCAGGUUAAGAAGGGACCUUGGCAGACUUUCUGUGUCUCUGAAUGGCCGACAUUCGAUGUUGGAUGGCCAUCAGAGGGGACCUUUAAUUCU